This 132-nucleotide transfer RNA is filed under the name Ceratovacuna subtropicana. RNAcentral's name for it is "tRNA-Val". The record is from RNAcentral. Lineage: Eukaryota; Metazoa; Arthropoda; Insecta; Hemiptera; Hormaphididae.
AUUUAGAAAGAAAUAAAAUUAAUAUAAUAUAUAUAUAUAUAUAUAUAUAUGUAUAUUUAUAUUACAUUAAAUAAAUAUCUAAAUUUAAGUAUAUCAUUUACAAUGAUAAGAUGUUUUUUAACUUUAUUUAAA